GACGAACGAGGGAGGAGGGAGGAACACAUGCAAGUCGAACGGAAAGGCCCUGCUUGCAGGGUACUCGAGUGGCGAACGGGUGAGUAACACGUGGGUGAUCUGCCCUGCACUUCGGGAUAAGCCUGGGAAACUGGGUCUAAUACCGGAUAGGAGCCAUUUUUAGUGUGAUGGUUGGAAAGUUUUUUCGGUGUAGGAUGAGCUCGCGGCCUAUCAGCUUGUUGGUGGGGUAAUGGCCUACCAAGGCGGCGACGGGUAGCCGGCCUGAGAGGGUGGACGGCCACAUUGGGACUGAGAUACGGCCCAGACUCCUACGGGAGGCAGCAGUGGGGAAUAUUGCACAAUGGGCGCAAGCCUGAUGCAGCGACGCCGCGUGGGGGAUGACGGCCUUCGGGUUGUAAACCCCUUUCGCUAGGGACGAAGCUUUUUGUGACGGUACCUAGAUAAGAAGCACCGGCUCACUACGUC
Molecule: ribosomal RNA, 465 nt
Filed under: uncultured bacterium
Lineage: Bacteria
Description: partial 16S ribosomal RNA
Rfam family: Bacterial small subunit ribosomal RNA
Source: RNAcentral